GUCUUAUUGGUAAUUUUAAUAAGUCUAGCCUGCCCAGUGAUUAUAUUAAACGGCCGCAGUAUAUUGACUGUGCAAAGGUAGCAUAAUCAUUAGUCUUUUAAUAGGAGGCUGGAAUGAAUGGUUUGACGAAAUAUCGGCUGUCUCAUUUUUAUUAAUUGAAUUUAACUUUUAGGUUAAAAGGCUUAAAUUUUUUUGGAAGACGAGAAGACCCUAUAGAGCUUUAUUAAAUUUAUUUUUAUAUGUUUUUGGAUAAAGACUUAUAAUAAUUGUAAUUUUAAUUUUGUUGGGGUGAUGGUAAAUAAAUAUUUAACUUUUAUUAUAUAUUAAACAUUUAUUUUUGAUUAAUUAGAUCCAUUUUUAUGAUUAUUAGAAUAAGUUACCUUAGGGAUAACAGCGUAAUCUUUCCUUUGAGUUCUUAUUUUCGGAAAGGGUUGCGACCUCGAUGUUGGAUUAAGAUUAUAAUUAGGUGUAGCCGCUUAUGUUAUAGGUCUGUUCGACCUUUAAAUUCUU
This 510-nucleotide ribosomal RNA is filed under the name Rhinocypha uenoi. RNAcentral describes it as "partial 16S rRNA". It matches the Rfam family "Bacterial large subunit ribosomal RNA", at positions 1830 to 2597 of the family's 2925-position model. Lineage: Eukaryota; Metazoa; Arthropoda; Insecta; Odonata; Chlorocyphidae. The record is from RNAcentral.